Anguilla rostrata (American eel) is the source of this 1975-nucleotide long non-coding RNA. RefSeq lists it as uncharacterized. The transcript is spliced from 3 exons. NCBI's taxonomy places the organism in Eukaryota, Metazoa, Chordata, Actinopteri, Anguilliformes, Anguillidae. The record is from RefSeq and is a predicted model, not a curated record.
UAGCCGCUUAUAGUGCAGAUACUGGCGCUGCUGAUACGUCAGCUUUGGUGCUUAUUAAGAGCUAGCCCAAGCUGAACAGAUGCCCAUGUCCGUAUGUGCACGUGCACAGUGGAACCCAGGAAGCAUAUUUGUGGAGGGUAAUCUCAGGAGCGGAUUAUCAACAGAAGUCAAAGAUGAAGAGACGCUGUUGCAAUCACACUUUGCAGAAAACAGGAAAUAGGAAAAAAUUACAACAACCAACCCUGAACCCCCAAAGAACCAGCAAAUGAUGUAAAACUUCCCAUUGGGAAGAAAAACAACACUGUGAGAGAAAAAAACUGUGGAGCACAGCUGCACCUGGUGGUAUCCCACAGUUGGAGACGGAAAGCGUUUGACACCCGGGCAGGAAGCCCUCACCGUGUCUAGUCCCAGCGAAGUUCAUCUGGCGUAGAAUGAACACGGACAUUUAUGAUUGGGUCAGGACCUGUGUAGCAUGCCUAUGACCGACGGGGCCCACAGGUCCAUCGGCACCUGGGUUGUCUGGUUUAGUGUCCCCUAUGACCUCUCCUCCUAUCAUGGGCUUCUGGGCUCUGGAUUUCAGUCGCCCAGAAUCUCUCACUCCACCACACCGCAGCUUACCACAUGCAGUUUUCACCAUUCCUAGAAGGCCACCCUAAACCAGUCUCUAGGACAACAAUUGGACCAACUGACCUCCAUGGGAGAGGCUAGGACUCAUGACUGCACCUAAAGAGCACCUUAAUUGUGGAGCAACCAUCCAUUCUUGAUAUUUUAGAAUAGAUGUCUGAUAUUAGUAGUUCCGUAUAUCACCCUCAGAUUUGGACACUUGUGGUCAAUGAGUUUAUGAUACAGGACAUGUAUAGUUUUACCUGUUUUAUAACAGUGAUCUCUCAGUAAAUCACUUAGCUGAAGGAGAACAACUUCACUUUUGCAUUUUCACCAUGAUAAUUGCAUUUGUGGCACUUUAUUUAUGAAUAUUAUAAAUAUAAUCUAAGUAUUGCAAAUGGUGUCUUGAUUCAUUUUCCAAGUCUCUGUGAUGCUUACAUGUGGAGUUAUAAAGCCUUGAAUAGAACAUUAUGGGUGAGGAUUGUCCAGCUUUGGCAUCUGCACAAAGGGGUUAAAGCUGUUUAUUAAAGGAGUACACAUAAUCACAUUUAUAUGAAUAUAUCAGGUAAGACACAUAAGGGGUUAGAUUUGUGGGAGGCUAUAUUUUACCAGUGCUCUGGUAUAAAAGGGAACUGAAAAUAUGGAAAUGGGUGAAUAUAGGCAAAAUGGCAAGAACACAGCAAUAAAAUCUAUGAUGUAGUUUGUAUAUUGAAAAAUUCAUAUUAAAAUACUGCAAACUACAUUUUCAGCAGCUAAAUAGUUUCAUAUCAGCUAGAGAAGUGUUCCAUCUUAUAUUCAGGUGUUGCUGUAAAUGGUUGGUAUGCUGUUUUUAAAUCUACUGGCUUUGAUAUCUGAUUGACAGCUGCAUGCAAAAUGUGAACAUAGCUUAAGUUUCAAAACUAUUUCAAGUCAGAUUGUUUUGGUUUUUGCCUAGCAACAGUCCCAAACAUCUUUGGUCUGAAAUCUGACUUGUUUGAGAUGGUCUGGACUACAACACUGGUUUGUGGCAAAUAAAGGUCUUUGGGAUCAAAGGGGGUGAUCCAACACCUGGCUAACUAGACUUGAAAAAAAAAGUUAUUGAUUCCUAUAAUUCUAAGAUGAUAAGCAGAAACCUUCUAAAUAAGAGACAGUGUAACAGUAUCUGCUGUGUUCAGUGUUUUAUGUUCUAGUACAAUAUCAUAAAUGUCAUAUUAUACAUAUAAUUUAUCUUUACAAUGUUAAUAAAGCUAUAAAUUUUGACUGUACUGUAGACAUCAAAGUACUGCCACACUCAGAACCCAUUUACCAAAUGCUGUGCCAGUGUUCCAUGUGAAAUCUUUCUGUAAACAAACAUCUAUCAUUUGAGAAAACAUCAUAAAAUCAUUCAAACAUU